AGGGAGGCCGGGAGGGGUCCCUGGGCGGGGAGUUGCUGCGCAUCUGUUGUGUGUGUGCGUCUGUCUGUCUGUUCAGGUCUGUUUUAGGCUGUGUCUGCCUGUCUCUCUGUCUGGGUCUCUUUCAGGCUGCGUCGGUCUGUCUGUCUGGGUCUGUUUCAGGCUGUGUCUGUCUGUCUGUCUGGGUCUGUUUCAGGCUGUGUCUGUCUGUCUGUCCGGGUCUGUUUCAGGCUGUGUCUGUCUGUCUGUCCGGGUCUGUUUCAGGCUGUGUCUGUCUGUCUGUCCGGGUCUGUUUCAGGCUGUGUCUGUCUGUCUGUCCGGGUCUGUUUCAGGCUGUAUGUGUGUCUGCUCUUUGCUUCUGCUCCUGGCUCUGUGUGUAUUUCCCGGGUCCUGUGGCCCUCUUUG
This 402-nucleotide long non-coding RNA is filed under the name Homo sapiens (human). RNAcentral's name for it is "HSALNT0395770". The record is from RNAcentral. Lineage: Eukaryota; Metazoa; Chordata; Mammalia; Primates; Hominidae.